This 1492-nucleotide long non-coding RNA is filed under the name Equus caballus (horse). RNAcentral's name for it is "lncRNA (ENSECAG00000056919.1)". Lineage: Eukaryota; Metazoa; Chordata; Mammalia; Perissodactyla; Equidae. The record is from RNAcentral.
UGGGAGAAGCCAGCUGCCAUGCCACGAGGACACUCAAGCAGCUUGAUGGAGAAGUCUACCUAGUGAGGAACUGAGGUCUCCUGCCAACAACCAGCAAGGAAUUGAGGCCUUCUGCCAACAGCUAUCUGUCUAACAGUGGAAUGAAUGGUGCCACCUGGAGCAGAAGCAGAGAGUUCCCUGUGUUCAACUAGGAGGACCCCCGCCUCUCAGGGAUACUGUAAAGGAAAAGGGGAGCGCAAUUUUCCAAGUGAAAUCAAUGCAGCAAGCGAAGAGCCCGGCUUCUCCUUCCUGCAGACACAGCCCUGCCAGCUGCUGCGCGUCCCUCUUUCACAGAGGCAGCCCCUCCGGUUUAUGCCUCCCAGCGGGACGGAACCUAGCUCAAAACCACUUCUCUGCCAGAAGUGCUCUCCAGGAAUUCUGGCCCGUGAAUAUCCUUCUUACUCAGUUAUUUUACGAUGUGAACAACUCCAUCUUGAAAUAAAUUGAACUGGGGAAAACUGGAAGUCUGGACUCUAGAGAGGUGUCUCCAGAGAGACAUGAAGAAUGACGGAGACACAGAGACCUCAGAAAAAAUUAGACAAUAUGGACACUAUGCUUCCUCAACGGGAAUUUUCUAAGGACUUAAAAACCAGUCCUUUGUCACUUCAAGUCAAGCUAUUGAUAUAGCUUUGGGCUUGUGGAUGUGUUAUUCAUGUUCUUGCUCAUCCCAUGGAAGUUGUGAAAUAAGGAAUAAACAUCAAUUCACAAGAAGAAUAAUGGCUGAUGAUCUGGUGGAUGAGCAGCUGAGCAACUGUGAUGCGCGCCAAAAGAGUCAAAAGUCAACUCUUCUUAAAGCACCACCAUCCACAUUAAUAUGACAGACCAGAAUAACUCUGAGGGAGCCAUUAUGAUCCAUUACGAAAAUAACAUUCAUUUGCAAAAUGAGGAACAUACCAAAAUGCAAGUGGUUCCAGUUCUUUCAGCUAAAUUACACAUUAAGCAAGCAGACUUCCUCUUCCAACAUUUUGAAACGGUUUAAUAUGCACUCGGGCUGGCCAGGGCCUAGAUUUUCUAAGACCGCCCCAAAGGUGAAGCCUCGAAAAAUGAGGACUGAUUGAUUGCCAGAGAGUCAGUCAGCCCCGCUGGUGUGUUGGUCAGGUGAAGCAUGACUGUGCUUUGAAAUUUCUCCUAGGGGACAGGAAUGAUACCACGUAGGAGCUGUGAAUCCCAGCUGGCUUCAUCCAAGAGCUUAUUGGCUGCUCCCCUCCAGUGGUUUGUUGGUUAGAACUCGGGGAUGAAGUGUAGUGGACGUUUGUUGUCUUUGCCUUUCGAGCAUUCAUUCAUACCUUCUUCUCAUAACAGUUCCUUGAAUUUCCUUUGGGAGGCUUCCCUUCCCUAUUCUUGGCCCAUGUAAUAAAAGCUAAGAAUGACAGCUAACGUGCAUUAAACUCUCAUCAUGUGCCAGGCACUGGUCGAACCAUCUUACAUUAACUCAUUUAAUCCUUAUACUAAC